Long non-coding RNA from Octopus sinensis (East Asian common octopus), 152 nucleotides. RefSeq lists it as uncharacterized. The transcript is spliced from 4 exons. NCBI's taxonomy places the organism in Eukaryota, Metazoa, Mollusca, Cephalopoda, Octopoda, Octopodidae. The record is from RefSeq and is a predicted model, not a curated record.
CUGGAGCACGUUUUCGAGACCCGAAUUCCGACUACGAGCUUUUCAAACGCAACAAUUUAAAUAUACGCUACCGGAGCUGGAAUUACCGCCGCUGCUGGCACCAGACUUGCCCUCCGGUCGAUCCUCGAGAUCGGACUCGCGUCGGGUGGGGA